GAUGAACGCUGGCGGCGUGCCUAAUACAUGCAAGUCGAGCGAACAGACGAGGAGCUUGCUCCUCUGACGUUAGCGGCGGACGGGUGAGUAACACGUGGAAAACCUACCUAUAAAACUGGGAUAACUUCGGGAAACCGAAGCUAAUACCGGAUAAUAUAUUGAACCGCAGGGUUCAAUAGUGAAAGCCGGUGUUGCUGUCACUUAUAGAUGGACCCGCGCCGCAUUAGCUAGUUGGUAAGGUAACGGCUUACCAAGGCAACGACGCGUAGCCGACCUGAGAGGGUGCUCGGCCACACUGGAACUGAGACACGGUCCAGACUCCUACGGGAGGCAGCAGUAGGGAAUCUUCCGCAAUGGGCGAAGGCCUGCCGGAGCCCCGCCGCGUGCGGCAGGAAGGUCCUCGGAUCGUAAAACUCUGUUAUUAGGGAAGAACAAAUGUGUAAGUAACUAUGCACGUCUUGACGGUACCUAAUCAGAAAGCCACGGCUAACUACGUG
Molecule: ribosomal RNA, 497 nt
Filed under: uncultured bacterium
Lineage: Bacteria
Description: partial 16S ribosomal RNA
Rfam family: Bacterial small subunit ribosomal RNA
Source: RNAcentral